GUUGUGUCUACUUUUUUCUCUUAUUAUUAUUUUUUUUUUACUAGUAUUGUAUACAUGUAUAUAUGUAUAUGAAGCCUCAGGGAAGACUGAGACCGACGUUGAAUUUAGGUCGCCGACGUUGCGACCAAUUUUCAACCAAAUAUCCACGUCUGUACAACAUCGGGUGCCUGCUGGGUGUGUUAUAGUAGUCUCAGGGGAAGAUUAGUAAUUGUAACUAACUGUGUUUACUUUGACCUCUUUAAAUAAAGAAUUUAUUAUUAUUAUUAUUAUAAUUAUUAUUAUUCUCAAAGCCAACAUUGGAAACUCAUUUAUUAUUAGGUUGGAAACUCAUCUAUUAUCCCUUGAC
This 346-nucleotide long non-coding RNA is filed under the name Mytilus galloprovincialis (Mediterranean mussel). The record is from RNAcentral. Lineage: Eukaryota; Metazoa; Mollusca; Bivalvia; Mytilida; Mytilidae.